This is a non-coding RNA of Lolium perenne, 2003 nucleotides long. The record is from RefSeq and is a predicted model, not a curated record. Lineage: Eukaryota; Viridiplantae; Streptophyta; Magnoliopsida; Poales; Poaceae.
ACACUGAUAUCACUAUAGAUCAGUAUCACAAAUACAAGGUUAAUUUAGAGUAAAUGGCAUACUGUUCUGAUCAAGAACUUGAUGACUAGUUUACAGUCAUAAACUCUUCUCUUGUUCAGAAACAAGAAGAUUGUGCUGACAUGGGUGUUGAUGCAUACAUAUUUUCCAUUGCAUGGCCUCAGCUUAUCCCGGGUAAGGCCAUGCAUCAUAUGUUGAAGUAUGUGUCUUGCAAAUACUAGCUGGCACUUCAGCAAUUUGCUGAUUUGUGAUACAUGAAGAUGGGUAAGGAGCUAUCAAUCUCAAGGGGCUAGAGUAGUACAACAAUCUUGGAAUUCCAUCAAUAUUGUUGCCAUUGUCUGCACUAUAGCAUGCAAGAGGGCAGGAGACACAACUAUGACAAGCCCGAACAUGAUUCAUGUCCCAGGUCUUGUAAUGAUCCGUUGAGUAUUUCUACAUUGAGAUUGGUUUACAUCACCAUCACCUUCGUUCGAGUGUGGCAUGCUCACGACUUCCCAGGCGACGGAGCGUUGCCCACCGUUGAAGACGACCAAACCUGGACAGGUGUCCGUCACUUAUAAAGUUUCCACGGAGUAUCUUUUCCUCAAUACAAUAAAAGUAGGCUACUUAUAGUGCUAGAAGGUAAGUAAGAGUAGUCUAUUUAUGUUUUGUUCUUAGGUUGAUGCUGCUACAUGCUGUAGCUAUUGGGUGUUUUAUUUCCUGUAGCGAUCUGGAAGGUGCAUGCUGUUGUCAUGCAGCAAGUGAACAUAGUAGCUUAAUGUGUGUGGAGUUUUGUUGUUUAGGGAUAUGGUCUGGCUGGGGAUCUGGUCUGGCUGGUGUUACAAGAUACUGACUAAAUUUUUCCUGAACACUAUAUUUAGGUGUUGGGGUAUUUAGGUAGCUAGCUGUGUACCUGUGUUGUGGUUCAAGAUUCAGGUAUGUCUGUGUUGUUAAUUUUUGUUUAUGGAAUAUUUCUAUCCAGUCUGCCAACCAUCUCAGUUAGCCUACCUUUUAUAGUUUAGCCUCUUGAAUAUGGAUGAUUUAUCGCCCAACACCGGUAGAGCUAUUGUUUUUUGUAUUUAGUGUAGUUGUGCAGCAGCCUUACUAGAUAUGCUAGGUGGUAAUAAUAUCUUAAAAAAUUAUGUAGUUUGGCGGUUAGCAUACUAGAUGAGCUUGACAAACAUCUACCUUUUUCUGUAUAUUUGUAGUACUUGUGUUAACUUUGAAGGAACAUGCAUGAAAGUUGGCGGUCUUCAGCUUCCUUGUUGUAGCAGUUUCAAUACAGGAAUCCGCCUCGCAAGAUGUCUAUAAGAUGUGAGGCCCCAAGAGGGGCACCGUGAGAUUCGUCGGCAGAGUGGAAUCCCCCGGAGAGAGCUGUUUGAAGACGAUGGGAUGUAGGUGUGCAUUGUUUCGGCCUCCCUCUGCGCUCUAGGCCAGGAGUUGUAAUGGUGGCCCACAGUUUCCUUUGGCAUGUUUGUUACUUGACAAUGUUUUCUCUGUUUGGUUAAAGUUGCGAGCCAAGCUGGAAUGUUUAUAUACUCCCUCCGUCCCGGUUCACAGGGCCUAAUCUGAAAAAACAUUUGUUCCAUAAUAACUUCCUACUAAGGCUUGCAUGCAUUUAAUUACAAGUAGUAACCUCCUCUAAUUAUUCUUCACCCUUCUAUUUCUCCUUUCUUUUACCUCGCUGAAGCAACCUACUGCAUGCAAGUGGGGUGGAAAUCCAAAGCGAGAAAUAAAACUGACCUAUGCAUGCCCAUCUAGCUCGUGGGAGAAUGCGUUAGGAUGAGUCUGUUAGCAUUCCUAUAUUAAAUAGGGAGUACAUCUGGCUGAAGAGGCAAGCGAUGGGGAGAGUUUUAGUAUCCAAUCAAAUACAACCUUGGUCGCGAUGCAAAACUAAGUGAGCCCAAUGAACCGGGACGGAGGGAGUAUAUGAAUGACAUAUGAGCUGUGUUAUGUAAACAUCACUGUACAUUGUUUGUUGUUGUGUUUUGAAUUAAUGUCCAAAA